This 112-nucleotide microRNA precursor is filed under the name Capitella teleta. RNAcentral describes it as "microRNA mir-263". It matches the Rfam family "mir-263 microRNA precursor family". Lineage: Eukaryota; Metazoa; Annelida; Polychaeta; Capitellidae. The record is from RNAcentral.
GCGUCUGUUACCGAUAAUGGCACUGGUAGAAUUCACGGUUAGCGCAGUUCUGCUCACGUGAUGCGUGACACGUGACCGUGGCUUCCCCGGUGUCAUACUUGGUGCCAGACUC